GACGAACGCUGGCGGCGUGCUUAACACAUGCAAGUCGAACGAUGAAGCUAGAGCUUGCUCUGGUGGAUUAGUGGCGAACGGGUGAGUAACACGUGAGUAACCUGCCCCGAACUCUGGGAUAACUGCUGGAAACGGUAGCUAAUACCGGAUAUGACCAAUGAAGUCAUCUUCUGUUGGUGGAAAGAAUUUCGGUUCGGGAUGGACUCGCGGCCUAUCAUCUUGUUGGUGAGGUAACGGUUCACCAAGGCGACGACGGGUAGCCGGCCUGAGAGGGUGAUCGGCCACACUGGGACUGAGACACGGCCCAGACUCCUACGGGAGGCAGCAGUGGGGAAUAUUGCACAAUGGGCGCAAGCCUGAUGCAGCAACGCCGCGUGAGGGACGACGGCCUUCGGGUUGUAAACCUCUUUUAGUAGGGAAGAAGCGAAAGUGACGGUACCUGCAGAAAAAGCACCGGCUAACUACGUGCCAGCCGCCGCCGUAA
Molecule: ribosomal RNA, 484 nt
Filed under: uncultured bacterium
Lineage: Bacteria
Description: partial 16S ribosomal RNA
Rfam family: Bacterial small subunit ribosomal RNA
Source: RNAcentral